Molecule: non-coding RNA, 74 nt
Organism: Myotis brandtii (Brandt's bat)
Lineage: Eukaryota; Metazoa; Chordata; Mammalia; Chiroptera; Vespertilionidae
Source: Rfam
AGCGGUUCUUGGUGACGCACUCCAGAAUUGGUCUCCCUCCUCUCUGGUUCUGGGUGCGUCACCCGAGAACUGCU